This 24-nucleotide non-coding RNA is filed under the name Arabidopsis thaliana (thale cress). The record is from RNAcentral. Lineage: Eukaryota; Viridiplantae; Streptophyta; Magnoliopsida; Brassicales; Brassicaceae.
UUAUGGAGAUGAUGAUGAACUCUC